This 585-nucleotide ribosomal RNA is filed under the name fungal sp. RNAcentral describes it as "eukaryotic LSU rRNA". The stretch from base 196 to 349 matches the Rfam family "5.8S ribosomal RNA". Lineage: Eukaryota; Fungi. The record is from RNAcentral.
AUUGAAGCUGCCCUUUCCGUUGGUGAACCUGCGGAGGGAUCAUUACCGAGUUAUUCAACUCAUCAACCCUGUGAACAUACCUAAACGUUGCUUCGGCGGGAACAGACGGCCCCGUGAAACGGGCCGCCCCCGCCAGAGGACCCCUAACUCUGUUUCUAUAAUGUUUCUUCUGAGUAAAACAAGCAAAUAAAUUAAAACUUUCAACAACGGAUCUCUUGGCUCUGGCAUCGAUGAAGAACGCAGCGAAAUGCGAUAAGUAAUGUGAAUUGCAGAAUUCAGUGAAUCAUCGAAUCUUUGAACGCACAUUGCGCCCGCCAGUAUUCUGGCGGGCAUGCCUGUUCGAGCGUCAUUACAACCCUCAGGCCCCCGGGCCUGGCGUUGGGGAUCGGCGGAGCCCCCCGUGGGCACACGCCGUCCCCCAAAUACAGUGGCGGUCCCGCCGCAGCUUCCAUCGCGUAGUAGCUAACACCUCGCGACUGGAGAGCGGCGCGGCCACGCCGUAAAACACCCAACUCUUCUGAAGUUGACCUCGAAUCAGGUAGGAAUACCCGCUGAACUUAAGCAUAUCAAUAACCGGAGGAAAGG